RNAcentral lists this ribosomal RNA (252 nucleotides) under uncultured bacterium. RNAcentral describes it as "partial 16S ribosomal RNA". It matches the Rfam family "Bacterial small subunit ribosomal RNA", at positions 524 to 775 of the family's 1533-position model. The record is from RNAcentral.
UACAGAGACUGCAAGCGUUAUUCGGAUUCACUGGGCGUAAAGCGUGCGCAGGCGGUUAUGUAAGACAGGUGUGAAAUCCCCGGGCUUAACCUGGGAACUGCAUUUGUGACUGCAUAGCUAGAGUACGGUAGAGGGGGAUGGAAUUCCGCGUGUAGCAGUGAAAUGCGUAGAUAUGCGGAGGAACACCGAUGGCGAAGGCAAUCCCCUGGACCUGUACUGACGCUCAUGCACGAAAGCGUGGGGAGCAACAGG